GCCCGCUUGGCUUAGUGGUACAGCGGUUUGUCAUCACUCACUUUGAUGGCGUGAAGGUGUUAUUAAUCAAUUUCUAGUGUCACUCGUAAACGAUGCGAUCUAGCGUUAUCGUUGGAUAUGACAAGAUCCUCGGUUCGAUUCCGAGAGUGGGCA
Molecule: non-coding RNA, 153 nt
Organism: Baudoinia panamericana UAMH 10762
Lineage: Eukaryota; Fungi; Ascomycota; Dothideomycetes; Mycosphaerellales; Teratosphaeriaceae
Source: the annotation of a RefSeq genome assembly